UACUUAGUGGCAGACGGGUGAGUAACAUGUAGGUAUCUGCCCUUUGGCCUGGAAUAACACGAGGAAACUUGUGCUAAUACCGGAUAAGUCUUUACGGAGAAAGCUUUAUGCACCAUUGGAUGAGCCUGCACUUGAUUAGUUUGUUGGUGGGGUAAUGGCCUACCAAGACUGUGAUCAAUAGCUGAUUUGAGAGGAUGAUCAGCCACAUUGGGACUGAGACACGGCCCAAACUCCUACGGGAGGCAGCAGUGGGGAAUCUUGCACAAUGGGGGAAACUCUGAUGCAGCNAUGCCGCGUGAGUGAAGAAGGCCCUUGGGUUGUAAAGCUCUUUCGUCGGGGAAGAAAAUGACUGUACCCCNAAUAAG
This 365-nucleotide ribosomal RNA is filed under the name uncultured Alphaproteobacteria bacterium. RNAcentral describes it as "bacterial SSU rRNA". It matches the Rfam family "Bacterial small subunit ribosomal RNA", at positions 89 to 487 of the family's 1533-position model. Lineage: Bacteria; Pseudomonadati; Pseudomonadota; Alphaproteobacteria. The record is from RNAcentral.